Small nuclear RNA from Meriones unguiculatus (Mongolian gerbil), 107 nucleotides. Lineage: Eukaryota; Metazoa; Chordata; Mammalia; Rodentia; Muridae. The record is from Ensembl.
AUGUUAUGUUUGGCAGCACAUAUACUAAAAUUGGAAUGAUACAGAAAAGAUUCACAUGGCCCAUGCACAAAGAGGACAUGAAAAUUUGUGAAGCAUUCUAUAUUUUU